AUUGAACGCUGGCGGCAUGCCUUACACAUGCAAGUCGAACGGCAGCGGGGACUUCGGUCCGCCGGCGAGUGGCGAACGGGUGAGUAAAGUAUCGGAACGUACCUUUCAGUGGGGGAUAACGUAGCGAAAGUUACGCUAAUACCGCAUAUUCUGUGAGCAGGAAAGCAGGGGAUCGCAAGACCUUGCGCUGAUUGAGCGGCCGAUAUCAGAUUAGCUAGUUGGUGAGGUAAAGGCUCACCAAGGCGACGAUCUGUAGCGGGUCUGAGAGGAUGAUCCGCCACACUGGAACUGAGACACGGUCCAGACUCCUACGGGAGGCAGCAGUGGGGAAUUUUGGACAAUGGGGGCAACCCUGAUCCAGCCAUGCUGCGUGAGUGAAGAAGGCCUCGGUG
This 392-nucleotide ribosomal RNA is filed under the name uncultured bacterium. Its description in RNAcentral is "bacterial SSU rRNA". It matches the Rfam family "Bacterial small subunit ribosomal RNA", at positions 30 to 422 of the family's 1533-position model. The record is from RNAcentral.